This 229-nucleotide ribosomal RNA is filed under the name uncultured bacterium. RNAcentral's name for it is "partial 16S ribosomal RNA". It matches the Rfam family "Bacterial small subunit ribosomal RNA", at positions 568 to 796 of the family's 1533-position model. The record is from RNAcentral.
UGCGUAGGCGGAAUUUUAAGUCAGUGGUGAAAUCCUGCAGCGCGACUGUAGAACUGCCAUUGAUACUGAUCUUCUUGAAUUUAGUUGAGGUGGGCGGAACGUGUAAUGUAGCGGUGAAAUGCUUAGAUAUUACACAGAACACCGAUUGCGAAGGCAGCUCACUAAACUAACAUUGACGCUGAGGCACGAAAGCGUGGGUAGCGAACAGGAUUAGAUACCCUGGUAGUCC